Molecule: ribosomal RNA, 253 nt
Filed under: uncultured bacterium
Lineage: Bacteria
Description: partial 16S ribosomal RNA
Rfam family: Bacterial small subunit ribosomal RNA
Source: RNAcentral
UACAGAGGGUGCAAGCGUUACUCGGAGUUACUGGGCGUAAAGGGCGCGUAGGUGGUCAUUUAAGUUAGAUGUGAAAUCCCUGGGCUUAACCUAGGAACUGCAUCUAAUACUGGAUGACUGGAGUACUGUAGAGGGUAGUGGAAUUUCCGGUGUAGCGGUGAAAUGCGUAGAGAUCGGAAGGAACACCAGUGGCGAAGGCGGCUACCUGGACAGAUACUGACACUGAGGCGCGAAAGCCAGGGGAGCAAACGGG